UUUUGUAAAUAGGUUGUGUGCAAAUUGAAGUGGUUGGAAAAUCUAUUGGUCGUGCACAUUUUAAAAACUCUUUGUGAAAUAAAGUGUUGGACUCAGACUUCCAAGUGGCCACCAGUCUGGAGCAAAGUAUAUUGAGAAGUAAAAUGGUUUGUUUCUUCAACUGCUCAUCCCCUUUUGACAUCUGUUCCCUUGGAGGAUGCCAGUGCCCCAGGACCUGGUGCUGGAGAUAACGGCAGCUGGAGCUCACCAGCUUCUUGGACUCACAAAGGUGUGAGCCGCAUGACUUCUCAGGUACUGACCACAUCCAGAAGGAAUUGGAAAUGAUGCAGAUCCUCAUUGCUCUGGGCCUGGUUUGCUGCCUGUCAUUCCUCAGGAGUUCCCUGGUCUACGGAGCCCAAGCUGUGCCAUUUAUAUCAGUAAGUGGCUAUUCACCCUGCAAUUAUAAAAGUUUUUUUCAUGAAUAUAUUAUGUAGUAUGUUGAUCAAUAUAGGCAUUUGAGCAUCUUCUCACCUUCAAGUAACCAUUACUCUGUAUAUGAUACUAUAUUAAUUAUGAUAAUCAUACAGCUGUUUCUCUAUAUCUGUUCAUCUGUUAUCUACCAUCUAUCUAUCAUCUAUCGUUUAUCAUCUAUUAUCCAUCAAAUGAGAGUCUAUUUAAGAUCUACUUAGAUCUAUACAAAAAUACAAGUUAUGUUGCUCAAACCCUAAGAAUAGACUGAGUCUGUGGCUGAAAGUUCAGUAAUGAUUUCUAUAACCCAGUAAGCUUUCAUGAACUAAGACAGAACUUCUCAAAGUCUCUGAACCAUUAUUCAGCAUCAUAGUAAAAAAGCAUAAUCUUGACGUUAUUCUUACCAGGAUACAUGUUUCAGAUAUAUCUCCAAGAGAAAAUAACUUUAAUUAAGCACAUUUUCUAUAACCAUAAAGGUUUAUUUCAUGGAAAUAAAGGAAAAACAUUCAGAAGCUAUUUAGAAAAAAAAGCAUCUCCAUUCACAGACUUGAAAGGGACCAAAAUCACCUUCUCAUUAUGAAUUUUUAGAACCUGAGGCUUAAAAGUUUGCAUCCACUUUCCAAGAUCAUGAAUUAGAUUUGGAGGUUAGAAGUCAGAUCAUGUAAACCCCUAUUCAGUGACCUUUUCACUACACAAUAUUUGGUAGAACUUGGUGGUAUAUGUUAAGUCAAAAAUAUCAAAAUAUGAAAAAUAUUCAUAUUUUCUGCCCUAAAUUAUAUAGUCUAAUAUCUAUAUUCUCUAUUUUUUAGGUAUAAACUUAUGUUUUAUUUGAUGGUUUUUGAAGAAGGGUUACUAAAACAGCAAUCAAAAUGAUUAAUCUCAUUGCUAUUGUAAGAACAGGUUUAGUUUAUUUAAUUUUAUUUGUGUAUGACUUUGAAAGCUUACUCUAAAAGAACAUUUGGGGAGCCUGGGUGGCUCAGAUGGUUAAACAUCUGACUUUAGCUUAGGUCAUGA
Molecule: long non-coding RNA, 1461 nt
Organism: Felis catus (domestic cat)
Lineage: Eukaryota; Metazoa; Chordata; Mammalia; Carnivora; Felidae
Exons: 4
Source: RefSeq, a predicted model, not a curated record